CCUACGGGUGGCAGCAGUGAGGAAUAUUGGUCAAUGGGAGGAAUCCUGAACCAGCCAUGUCGCGUGCAGGACGACGGCCCUACGAGUUGUAAACUGCUUUUGUAUGGGGGUAAAAUGCGCUAUGCGUACGCUCUUGUAUGUACGGUACGAAUAAGGAUCGGCCAACUCCGUGCCAGCAGCCGCGGUAAUACGGAGGAUCCGAGCGUUAUCCGGAUUUAUUGGGUUUAAAGGGUGCGUAGGUGGUUUUAUAAGUUAGCGGUGAAAUCCCGAGGCUCAACCGCGGGGCUGCCGUUGAUACUGUAGGACUAGAGAGCGGAUGAGGCAGGCGGAAUGCGUGGUGUAGCGGUGAAAUGCAUAGAGAUUACGCAGAACACCGAUUGCGAAGGCAGCUUGCUGGGCCGGAUCUGACACUGAUGCACGAAAGCGUGGGGAUCGAACAGGAUUAGAUACCCUUGUAGUC
RNAcentral lists this ribosomal RNA (460 nucleotides) under uncultured bacterium. RNAcentral describes it as "partial 16S ribosomal RNA". It matches the Rfam family "Bacterial small subunit ribosomal RNA", at positions 338 to 795 of the family's 1533-position model. The record is from RNAcentral.